Molecule: ribosomal RNA, 320 nt
Filed under: uncultured bacterium
Lineage: Bacteria
Description: bacterial LSU rRNA
Rfam family: Bacterial large subunit ribosomal RNA
Source: RNAcentral
ACCCGGUGAACUGAAACAUCUAAGUAGCCGGAGGAAGAGAAAACAAAAGUGAUUCCGGGAGUAGUGGCGAGCGAAACCGGAUUAGCCCAAACCAGUGUUGUUUCGGCAAUACUGGGGUUGUAGGACCACGACAUUGAUUGCGUAAUGAAUUAGAACACUUUGGAAAGAGUGACCGAAGAGGGUGAUAGUCCCGUACAAGUAAAGAGCGUUAAUUAUAGUGGUAUCCUGAGUAGUGCGGGGCACGUGAAACCCUGUAUGAAUCAAGCGGGACCAUCCGUUAAGGCUAAAUACUCCUGAGAGACCGAUAGUGAACCAGUACC